UACGGGGGGAGCAAGCGUUGUUCGGAUUUACUGGGCGUAAAGGGCGCGUAGGCGGCCUCCGCAAGUCAGUUGUGAAAUCUCCGAGCUUAACUCGGAAAGGUCAACUGAUACUGCGGGGCUAGAGUGCGGAAGGGGCAACUGGAAUUCUUGGUGUAGCGGUGAAGUGCGUAGAUAUCAAGAGGAACACCUGCGGCGAAGGCGGGUUGCUGGGCCGACACUGACGCUGAGGCGCGAAAGCUAGGGGAGCGAACGGG
RNAcentral lists this ribosomal RNA (254 nucleotides) under uncultured bacterium. Its description in RNAcentral is "partial 16S ribosomal RNA". It matches the Rfam family "Bacterial small subunit ribosomal RNA", at positions 524 to 776 of the family's 1533-position model. The record is from RNAcentral.